UACGUAGGGGGCGAGCGUUGUCCGGAUUCAUUGGGCGUAAAGAGCUCGUAGGCGGCUUGGUAAGUCGGGUGUGAAACCCCCAGGCUCAACCUGGGGCAGCCACCCGAUACUGCUAUGGCUUGAGUCCGGUAGGGGACCACGGAAUUCCUGGUGUAGCGGUGAAAUGCGCAGAUAUCAGGAGGAACACCGGUGGCGAAGGCGGUGGUCUGGGCCGGAACUGACGCUGAGGAGCGAAAGCGUGGGGAGCAAACAGG
This 254-nucleotide ribosomal RNA is filed under the name uncultured bacterium. RNAcentral describes it as "partial 16S ribosomal RNA". It matches the Rfam family "Bacterial small subunit ribosomal RNA", at positions 524 to 776 of the family's 1533-position model. The record is from RNAcentral.